Long non-coding RNA from Boleophthalmus pectinirostris (great blue-spotted mudskipper), 318 nucleotides. RefSeq lists it as uncharacterized. Lineage: Eukaryota; Metazoa; Chordata; Actinopteri; Gobiiformes; Gobiidae. The record is from RefSeq and is a predicted model, not a curated record. The transcript has 3 exons.
GUAAAGUAAAUGUACAACACUGGCUUUGUGGAGACAACCUUUUCCUGUGAAAUCUUUCAGACCCGCCUUUGACUCAUCCCCACUCAGAGCGCAGAUUUAAGACUCAGCUUUGGGCCCCAAUCCUCAGUUUCUGCUCCAGUGUCCAACCAGCGUGAAAGCAGCGUCACAGCAGCACCAGGGCCACAAGAAGCAGCAGCCUCCAGAAACAUGAGCCGCAACUCCAUCAGCACCAACCAGGAACUGCGCUUUGGAGAGUACAUCCAGAGUCUCAACGAUGAGUACUACACCAUAAUGCAGGCUGAUAGUAACCUGGUGACG